CUUCACAACCCUGAAAAUUAUAAUGGCAAUUCUCAUGUUGAUGUUUCUGUUUCUCUCCCUUUUUCACAUGUGCAGGACAACUUUACUGCAGCAAUCGCAUACUAUCACAAGGCUCUAUGGCUGAAACCCGAUGAUCAGUUCUGCACUGACAUGUUAAUUAAAGCUCUUGAAGAAGAAUGCCGCCGUGGUGUAGACCCCAGAAUUGAAUUUCAACAAAGUGAGGUUUUUCUUUGAUGCUAAUAUUAUUCUUUCUACUUUUGGUGGAAUGAAUGUGUAAUUAAUACCAUAAUGCCCGAAAUAGGUUUUAUUAUUAUUAUUAUUACUAUUACUAUUGCAAUUUUCAAUGUGAUAUAUUUGUAUCAAAGAUUAGGCAGCGUGUAUUCCGACCGUCAUCUUGGUUUAUUUAUCAAUCGAGGCCCGUAACAUAUCAUUGUUGAAGAAA
Molecule: long non-coding RNA, 442 nt
Organism: Alnus glutinosa
Lineage: Eukaryota; Viridiplantae; Streptophyta; Magnoliopsida; Fagales; Betulaceae
Exons: 2
Source: RefSeq, a predicted model, not a curated record